This 430-nucleotide unclassified non-coding RNA is filed under the name Zea mays. RNAcentral describes it as "misc RNA Zm00001eb140850". Lineage: Eukaryota; Viridiplantae; Streptophyta; Magnoliopsida; Poales; Poaceae. The record is from RNAcentral.
UUAUUCCAGUUGCCUUGCGUUGUGCGGGAGUUCCUUAUUCCUCCAUUUUAUUCCAGUUGCCUUGCGUUGUGCGGGAGUUCCUUAUUCCUCCGAAAUGGCAAUGGGAUCGACAAAAUUGCACCUGUACAGAUACACAAAGACGGAAGAGACGCACCUAACAUGCUUGAAGACGGCGGCGGCAGCAGAGCGCGAGCGCGGGAACUGCCAACCGGACCACGCGGCGACGGGUAUGUAGACGUCGAGCAGCACGACGGCCCUGGCCUCCACCGCGGCGCCGUCCCCUUCCCCUUCCCCUUCCCCAGGCCUCCUCCUGGUCACGACCCGGAGAAGCGUACCCUCCACCUCCACGCAGCGGUUCGCCACGAGCGUCCUGAGCAGGCGCACGACGCCGGGGGCGCGCGACCUGGGCCACCGCGGCUGGGCCCGCACG